CGGGAUGUAAUUCAGCGGCCAGAAGCUAUGCUUUGGGAGCAUGGAGUCGCAGGUUCAAAUCCUGCCAUCCCGA
This 73-nucleotide transfer RNA is filed under the name Nostoc sp. UIC 10630. Its description in RNAcentral is "tRNA-Pro". It matches the Rfam family "tRNA". Rfam says of the family: Transfer RNA (tRNA) molecules are approximately 80 nucleotides in length. Their secondary structure includes four short double-helical elements and three loops (D, anti-codon, and T loops). Further hydrogen bonds mediate the characteristic L-shaped molecular structure. tRNAs have two regions of fundamental functional importance: the anti-codon, which is responsible for specific mRNA codon recognition, and the 3' end, to which the tRNAs corresponding amino acid is attached (by aminoacyl-tRNA synthetases). tRNAs cope with the degeneracy of the genetic code in two manners: having more than one tRNA (with a specific anti-codon) for a particular amino acid; and 'wobble' base-pairing, i.e. permitting non-standard base-pairing at the 3rd anti-codon position. The record is from RNAcentral. Lineage: Bacteria; Bacillati; Cyanobacteriota; Cyanophyceae; Nostocales; Nostocaceae.